This is a non-coding RNA of Ornithorhynchus anatinus (platypus), 138 nucleotides long. The record is from Rfam. Lineage: Eukaryota; Metazoa; Chordata; Mammalia; Monotremata; Ornithorhynchidae.
CCCCUUUAAGGGUCGUACCUGGAAAGUUUCCAGUACUCUACCAGCUUCAGUUAGGGGAGGGAGUGUCAAGCAGAGGCCUACCCAUUCCAAUCCUAGCUUGGGCAGUGGCUAGCGAGUGGAAGGCGAUCUGCUACAAGU